Molecule: ribosomal RNA, 600 nt
Filed under: Priestia megaterium
Lineage: Bacteria; Bacillati; Bacillota; Bacilli; Caryophanales; Bacillaceae
Description: Bacillus megaterium partial 16S ribosomal RNA
Rfam family: Bacterial small subunit ribosomal RNA
Source: RNAcentral
GANAACGCUGGCGGCGUGCCUAAUACAUGCAAGUCGAGCGAACUGAUUAGAAGCUUGCUUCUAUGACGUUAGCGGCGGACGGGUGAGUAACACGUGGGCAACCUGCCUGUAAGACUGGGAUAACUUCGGGAAACCGAAGCUAAUACCGGAUAGGAUCUUCUCCUUCAUGGGAGAUGAUUGAAAGAUGGUUUCGGCUAUCACUUACAGAUGGGCCCGCGGUGCAUUAGCUAGUUGGUGAGGUAACGGCUCACCAAGGCAACGAUGCAUAGCCGACCUGAGAGGGUGAUCGGCCACACUGGGACUGAGACACGGCCCAGACUCCUACGGGAGGCAGCAGUAGGGAAUCUUCCGCAAUGGACGAAAGUCUGACGGAGCAACGCCGCGUGAGUGAUGAAGGCUUUCGGGUCGUAAAACUCUGUUGUUAGGGAAGAACAAGUACGAGAGUAACUGCUCGUACCUUGACGGUACCUAACCAGAAAGCCACGGCUAACUACNUGCCANCAGCCGCGGUAAUACNUANGUGGCAAGCGUUAUCCGGAAUUAUUGGGCGUAAAGCGCGCGCANGCGGNUUCUUAANUCNGANGNGAANNNCCNCNGNUC